GAGACCUACAAGCUGACAGUACAAAUAAGUGUCUUCUCAAGCAGUGCUAUGACUUCAGCUUCCUCCUAUGUUCAGAGCAUGACAUGCCGCUAUUCUCCAUGGGCAGAGAGGGAGAUUCUGUGUGAAAGAAACUACAUGGAGGCAACUGCUGCUGACAACAGCAUCUGGAAAAUUUGUGUUCCCUCUCCCAGCAAAUAGAAAGGCUAUGACUGUUGCUCAGGCCAUGACAAAUGGCUAUGGCAUAAAACUACACCAACUCGAAUGCUGGUUAGAGCUGCAUACAACUCCACAGAGCCAGCCUCAGGUGAUCCAAACUAUACCAAUGGUUGUGCUAAGAUCAACCACCUUUUAUAAGCAAAGAUGGAUGGUCAUGAUGGUGGACACUGCAGUUACAUGUUCCUCUGGUGAGGAAGCUUAUGGAGGGUAACAGUGCUCAAGAACUGUAAGUAUGAAUUUUCUGUACCAAGUCUAUGGUGUUCCUUUCUGUCUGAUGGAACAGCCUUCACAGAAGAGAUGAUUCCAUGGAAUGUUCCCCGUGUUCUACCUCCUCUUGUUCUGACACCACAAAUUACUACCCUUGAUGUUCAAAUGGGAGUUGAUGGCUGCAAGCUUGACCCUGCAACAAUUCAUAAUGGAGAUUAUAAAGUGGAUGUCGGUCCCCAGCUAAUCACUGUAAAAAAUUCCUGUGGGAGCUGAUGGUGGAUAUUACAAGAGCCAUGUAUUGGACAGCACCUAUAAUAUCUUACUUGAUUGAACCAAUGCUGGAGCAUACCUGGCAAGAUGGGCCUGAGAAGACCAAGUACACAAAACUUCAUCCAAUAACCACUCCUUUCAUGCCUCUGCCACCAGUUGUCACAAACAAUACUGUUCCUAAAGCCAGAGUGUUCAAUGUGACCCUGGGGACAUUCCUGCCUGAUGUGGAGCUGGUCAAAAUUCUAGUUGGACCAGAGACUUUAACUGUGCCAGAAGCCAACCUUAACGGUUAUGUCCAGGAACAUGUCUUCCCCAAUGGAUCCAAGACCUACACUCUCCAGGUGCCAUUUGAGGACCCCAAUGUAAAGCAAAAGGUAACUCCUCCAGACACCAGAACCUACAUUCUGCCCCUGACCUACUUGCUGAAUAUAGUGCCAGAGAAUACACCCUUUACUCAUCCUGCUGUAGUCGAAGCCAUUCUCCAAGACAUCAUUCCACCUACAGUAACUGGCUACUGUGAUGGUGCUGCACUCUAUAUGGCAACAUGGGUCGCAACUGGAUUCCUUAUGUGGGCUCAAGAGAACUUGGUGGAAGUCUGCUUGCCCUGUACAAGUAUAAUGCCAAUUUGUCCAAUUUCUGGAUGACUGCCAUACAAUUCAAUUGAUGCCACAUAUGAAGUGAUCAAUUCUUCAGGCAUCAGAAGCAGGCUUGACUUGACCUUGAAGGAUAUUGAGACCAUGGUUGUGGUGGCUGACUUCUCUCUGUCCUGCAGUUUCCCUACAAAGAUGAUUGAUUGCUUCACAAUGGAACUAUGGCAGCUCUUGCUGUGAAAGUGGAAUCUGUCCCCAGCUUGUCUCCAAGUCAACUAAAUCUAAGGGAUCCGAGUUGCCGGCCUCUUCAGUCUGAUGCUAUCAAUGCGGUUUUCUACUUCAAUGUCAAUUC
Molecule: long non-coding RNA, 1635 nt
Organism: Acipenser ruthenus (sterlet)
Lineage: Eukaryota; Metazoa; Chordata; Actinopteri; Acipenseriformes; Acipenseridae
Exons: 9
Source: RefSeq, a predicted model, not a curated record